CCUACGGGUGGCAGCAGUAGGGAAUCUUGCGCAAUGGGCGAAAGCCUGACGCAGCGACGCCGCGUGAGGGAUGAAGGCCUUCGGGUUGUAAACCUCUUUCAGCAGGGACGAAGCGAAAGUGACGGUACCUGCAGAAGAAGGUCCGGCCAACUACGUGCCAGCAGCCGCGGUAAUACGUAGGGACCGAGCGUUGUCCGGAUUUAUUGGGCGUAAAGAGCUCGUAGGCGGCCGUCCACGUCGGGUGUGAAAGCUCGGGGCUCAACCCUGAGAGGCCAUUCGAUACGGGACGGCUCGAGGCAGCUAGGGGAGAUUGGAAUUCCUGGUGUAGCGGUGAAAUGCGCAGAUAUCAGGAGGAACACCGGUGGCGAAGGCGGAUCUCUGGGGCUGUUCUGACGCUGAGGAGCGAAAGCUGGGGGAGCAAACAGGAUUAGAUACCCCAG
Molecule: ribosomal RNA, 440 nt
Filed under: uncultured bacterium
Lineage: Bacteria
Description: bacterial SSU rRNA
Rfam family: Bacterial small subunit ribosomal RNA
Source: RNAcentral